This 468-nucleotide ribosomal RNA is filed under the name uncultured bacterium. RNAcentral describes it as "partial 16S ribosomal RNA". It matches the Rfam family "Bacterial small subunit ribosomal RNA", at positions 28 to 507 of the family's 1533-position model. The record is from RNAcentral.
GACGAACGCUGGCGGCGUGCUUAACACAUGCAAGUCGAACGGAAAGGCCCUGCUUUUGUGGGGUGCUCGAGUGGCGAACGGGUGAGUAACACGUGAGUAACCUGCCCUUGACUUUGGGAUAACUUCAGGAAACUGGGGCUAAUACCGGAUAGGAGCUCCUGCUGCAUGGUGGGGGUUGGAAAGUUUCGGCGGUUGGGGAUGGACUCGCGGCUUAUCAGCUUGUUGGUGGGGUAGUGGCUUACCAAGGCUUUGACGGGUAGCCGGCCUGAGAGGGUGACCGGCCACAUUGGGACUGAGAUACGGCACAGACUCCUACGGGAGGCAGCAGUGGGGAAUAUUGCACAAUGGGAGGAAGCCUGAUGCGGCAACGCCGCGUGCGGGAUGACGGCCUUCGGGUUGUAAACCGCAUUCGCCUGUGACGAAGCGUGAGUGACGGUAAUGGGUAAAGAAGCACCGGCUAACUACGUG